CUACUUCAGUGACUUUUAAAUCUGUAAGACAUACAUUUCAUAUUGCAACCCCUGCCCACACACAGCUGAAAGAAAAGUGUCAUAAGGUAUUAUUCACCAUUAUUAAAAGAACAGCUAAGAUGUGCCUUUUCACAAUGCAGAGGAUUAACCACUAUGCGGCCAUAGCUAUGGUGUGCCCUUGCAAACACCAGACUUGCAGUGUGAAUUUACUAAGAACCAAAUUGUCUGUCAAAGUGCUCUCAGGGAGCUCGAGUCUUCCAUAGAAGAAGUCAAGGGGAAAAAAGUUCUGGAUGAAAGGGUCGUGCAGAUAUGGAAGGAGUCGAC
This is a long non-coding RNA of Molossus molossus (Pallas's mastiff bat), 324 nucleotides long. RefSeq lists it as uncharacterized. The transcript is spliced from 3 exons. The record is from RefSeq and is a predicted model, not a curated record. NCBI's taxonomy places the organism in Eukaryota, Metazoa, Chordata, Mammalia, Chiroptera, Molossidae.